RNAcentral lists this ribosomal RNA (495 nucleotides) under uncultured bacterium. RNAcentral's name for it is "partial 16S ribosomal RNA". It matches the Rfam family "Bacterial small subunit ribosomal RNA", at positions 28 to 507 of the family's 1533-position model. The record is from RNAcentral.
GAUGAACGCUGGCGGCGUGCCUAAUACAUGCAAGUAGAACGCUGAAGGAGGAGCUUGCUCUUCUGGAUGAGUUGCGAACGGGUGAGUAACGCGUAGGUAACCUGCCUGGUAGCGGGGGAUAACUAUUGGAAACGAUAGCUAAUACCGCAUAACAGUAGAUGUUGCAUGACAUUUGCUUAAAAGGUGCAAUUGCACCACUACCAGAUGGACCUGCGUUGUAUUAGCUAGUUGGUGGGGUAACGGCUCACCAAGGCGACGAUACAUAGCCGACCUGAGAGGGUGAUCGGCCACACUGGGACUGAGACACGGCCCAGACUCCUACGGGAGGCAGCAGUAGGGAAUCUUCGGCAAUGGACGGAAGUCUGACCGAGCAACGCCGCGUGAGUGAAGAAGGUUUUCGGAUCGUAAAGCUCUGUUGUAAGAGAAGAACGAGUGUGAGAGUGGAAAGUUCACACUGUGACGGUAUCUUACCAGAAAGGGACGGCUAACUACGUG